Molecule: ribosomal RNA, 546 nt
Filed under: uncultured alveolate
Lineage: Eukaryota
Description: SSU rRNA
Rfam family: Eukaryotic small subunit ribosomal RNA
Source: RNAcentral
GCGUAUAUUAAAGUUGUUGCGGUUAAAAAGCUCGUAGUUGGAUUUCUGUCGAGGACGGUCGGUCCACACUUUGUGUGAGUAUCUGAUUCGGCCUUGGCAUCCUCCUGGGGAACGUUUCUGCGCUUGAUUGCGUGGAGCGGAAUUCAGGACUUUUACUUUGAGGAAAUUAGAGUGUUCACGGCAGGCAAACGCCUUGAAUAUAUUAGCAUGGAAUAAUAAUAUAGGACCUUUGUUCUAUUUUGUUGGUUUCUAGAGCGAAGGUAAUGAUUAAUAGGGAUAAUUGGGGGCAUUCGUAUUAACGCGUCAGAGGUGGAAUUCUUGGAUUGCGUUACGACGAACUACUGCGAAAGCAUUUGCCAAGGAUGUUUUCAUUGAUCAAGAACGAAAGUUAGGGGAUCGAAGACGCUUAGAUACCGUCGUAGUCUUAACCAUAAACUAUGCCGACUAGAGAUUGGAGGUCGUUCUUUUUAUGACUCCUUCAGCACCUUAUGAGAAAUCAAAGUCUUUGGGUUCCGGGGGGAGUAUGGUCGCAAGGCUGAAACUUAA